Molecule: ribosomal RNA, 478 nt
Filed under: uncultured bacterium
Lineage: Bacteria
Description: partial 16S ribosomal RNA
Rfam family: Bacterial small subunit ribosomal RNA
Source: RNAcentral
GACGUACGCUGGCGGCGUGCUUAACACAUGCAAGUCGAGCGAUGAAGCUUCUUCGGAAGUGGAUUAGCGGCGGACGGGUGAGUAACACGUGGGUAACCUGCCUCAUAGAGGGGAAUAGCCUUCCGAAAGGAAGAUUAAUACCGCAUAAGAUUGUAGUACCGCAUGGUACAGCAAUUAAAGGAGCAAUCCGCUAUGAGAUGGACCCGCGUCGCAUUAGCUAGUUGGUGAGGUAACGGCUCACCAAGGCGACGAUGCGUAGCCGACCUGAGAGGGUGAUCGGCCACAUUGGGACUGAGACACGGCCCAGACUCCUACGGGAGGCAGCAGUGGGGAAUAUUGCACAAUGGGGGAAACCCUGAUGCAGCAACGCCGCGUGAGUGAUGACGGUCUUCGGAUUGUAAGACUCUGUCUUCAGGGACGAUAAUGACGGUACCUGAGGAGGAAGCCACGGCUAACUACGUGCCAGCCGCCGCCGUAA